RNAcentral lists this ribosomal RNA (468 nucleotides) under uncultured bacterium. RNAcentral describes it as "partial 16S ribosomal RNA". It matches the Rfam family "Bacterial small subunit ribosomal RNA", at positions 28 to 507 of the family's 1533-position model. The record is from RNAcentral.
GACGAACGCUGGCGGCGUGCUUAACACAUGCAAGUCGAACGGAAAGGCCCUGCUUUUGUGGGGUGCUCGAGUGGCGAACGGGUGAGUAACACGUGAGUAACCUGCCCUUGACUUUGGGAUAACUUCAGGAAACUGGGGCUAAUACCGGAUAGGAGCUCCUGCUGCAUGGUGGGGGUUGGAAAGUUUCGGCGGUUGGGGAUGGACUCGCAGCUUAUCAGCUUGUUGGUGGGGUAGUGGAUUACCAAGGCUUUGACGGGUAGCCGGCCUGAGAGGGGGGCCGGCCACAUUGGGACUGAGAGACGGCCCAGACUCCUACGGGAGGCAGCAGUGGGGAAUAUUGCACAAUGGGCGGAAGCCUGAUGCAGCAACCCCGCGUGCGGGAUGACGGCCUUCGGGUUGUAAACCGCUUUCGCCUGUGACGAAGCGUGAGUGACGGUAAUGGGUAAAGAAGCACCGGCUAACUACGUG